RNAcentral lists this ribosomal RNA (492 nucleotides) under uncultured bacterium. Its description in RNAcentral is "partial 16S ribosomal RNA". It matches the Rfam family "Bacterial small subunit ribosomal RNA", at positions 29 to 507 of the family's 1533-position model. The record is from RNAcentral.
AGUGAACGCUGGCGGUAGGCCUAACACAUGCAAGUCGAACGGCAGCACAGUAAGAGCUUGCUCUUACGGGUGGCGAGUGGCGGACGGGUGAGGAAUACAUCGGAAUCUACUUUUUCGUGGGGGAUAACGUAGGGAAACUUACGCUAAUACCGCAUACGACCUACGGGUGAAAGCAGGGGAUCUUCGGACCUUGCGCGAUUGAAUGAGCCGAUGUCGGAUUAGCUAGUUGGCGGGGUAAAGGCCCACCAAGGCGACGAUCCGUAGCUGGUCUGAGAGGAUGAUCAGCCACAAUGGAACUGGAAAACGGUCCAGAAUCCUACGGGAGGCAGCAGUGGGGAAUAUUGGACAAUGGGCGCAAGCCUGAUCCAGCCAUACCGCGUGGGUGAAGAAGGCCUUCGGGUUGUAAAGCCCUUUUGUUGGGAAAGAAAAGCAGCAGGUUAAUACCCCGCUGUUCUGACGGUACCCAAAGAAUAAGCACCGGCUAACUUCGUG